AGAACAUGCACACACAUGCAGUUCAGGAGUUAUUGCAAAAUUGUUUCCCAGAAAAAUUGCUCCAAUUUACACUCUGAUCAUAAAAUUAGGGUUUUGAGAGAUUUAUUUGUGUUGAGUUAGUUCCAAGUGUUCUUGAAAAUGAGGGCUGGGGGAAGCUGACUUGGGAGAUUUGGGUCCUCUUCCAUAUGUGCAUGUGUCUUUGAUGGUCAUUAAUGAGAAGAAAAAGAUGCAUGAUUUUUUGUACUCCUAGUUCACAGAACUGAUGGUAUUGGUUAUACACACAGGGGAGUGCCAUAAAUUAUUUAUGUUUAAAAAACAUUGUGGUUUCAUGUAUAUGGAAUAAUCUUAAGAUUGUGAGUAGGGAAAGCAAUAAAGGUUAUUUGGAGUAACGUGGUAGCAAUGGAGAUAUUGAAAAAAUAAGGGAUAGAAUGUAUUUUAUUGGAAGUUAAUUACUUGUGUUUGACUUUACUGUGUGCCAAUAGUUCUUUCUGUCCUCAAUUUGCAGAUGAGACAACUGAACAGUGGACCAUUCCUAAAAUCAUCUAAUAAAGAGUUUAAGCUGAAUCUGGACAUCCUAACUGGUCUGAAUGCAACUUGGUCCUGUCAAGAUUUGACGAAUAUUACUUUCUCUAAUGAGGAUACAAUUGAAGGUAACUUUAGUCCUAUAUAAAUUAUAAGAUUGGGAUGGGGUGCAUUUUCUAACUGGUAAUAAUACUGUGACCAGAGUGUUCUCUUACACACAUUGAGUAACUACCACAUAGAGUAGACUAUUUUGAUGUUUUAUUUAGUGCUCACAAAUUGAUCAAUGGGAUAAUGGAUUCAGUACCAAUUAAUUAGAAAUGGACCAAUGUGUACACAUGCAAGAAUACUUCAAAAACAUUAGUGGAAAAUGGGAUUAAAAAUAAGUUUAUAUUGAUACAAAAAUUUUGAAAUACUCAUAUAGUUUCUUGCAACAUUCAUUUUCAUUAAGCUUUUUGAAAGCAAAGAUAUGACUUAAUCUAACUAAAUAUCAGUAACUUAAGAUAAGGAAGUGUUGCUUCCAGUACCUAAAAAUUGAUCAUCAGGGGCUGGCAUUGUGCCGUAGAGGGUUAAUAUACUGCUUGGGAUGCCUGCAUCUCGUAACAGAAUGCCAGUUCGAUCUGGGCCCCUCUAUUUUCUGUCUAGCUUUCUGCUAAUGUGAACCCUAGGAGACAACAGGUGACAGAUCAGAUACUUUGGUCUUUGCCACUCAUGUGGGAGACCAGAUGGAAUUCCUGGCUCCUGGCUUUAGCAUGGCACAGCCUAAGCUCUUGUGAGCAUGUGAGGUAUAAACCAGUAAACCAUCUCUCUCUUUGUCUCUCUCUCUCUAUGUAUUUAUCUCUCAAAUGAAUAAAUAAGCCUUUAAAAAAGGUAGCCUCA
RNAcentral lists this long non-coding RNA (1398 nucleotides) under Oryctolagus cuniculus (rabbit). RNAcentral describes it as "lncRNA (ENSOCUG00000036636.1)". Lineage: Eukaryota; Metazoa; Chordata; Mammalia; Lagomorpha; Leporidae. The record is from RNAcentral.